This 241-nucleotide unclassified non-coding RNA is filed under the name Hevea brasiliensis (rubber tree). Lineage: Eukaryota; Viridiplantae; Streptophyta; Magnoliopsida; Malpighiales; Euphorbiaceae. The record is from RNAcentral.
GUGGUUGAGUACUAUGACUCCAAGGGAAAGGUUCGGAAGAUUGAUGCUGCUAAAUCAGUUGAAGAGGUUUUUGAGGCUGUUAAAGCAAUUUUUACCCAAAAAUAUGAGAAGGCUGCUGCUGUCUAGGUGUUCCAACUGUGCCAGAGAUAUUGAAUCAAAUAUGUAUCAAGAUGAUGGAUUUUGUUGAUUGCUUGCCAUCAUGCUUAUCAUAGCUGGUGAUAGUUGAUAUUAUGAGAGGUAU